UAAAAUAAACCCAAGGAAGGAGUGCCCUUAAGGUAUCUCAGAACAUGCAGGGCAGCAGUCAUAUGGGGAAGUCUGGGGCAUUUGAGGAAUUGACUCAUAUGUUGGACUGCAAAGCAUAUGUUAGGCCUAGUAUGAGUCAGAAACACAUCUUACCAACUAGACUCCUGUGCUGGUCAGGAGAGGAUAAAAGGUCACCAGAAUCAGCAUGAAGUUUGACAUUAAUGUCCAAAGGGCAUAACUUGUCAGGAGAUGAUAAAAGGUCACCAGAAUCAGUAUGAAGUUUGACAUUAAUGUCCAAAAGAGACACAACAUAGGAGACAUUUGUACAAUCAAAUUGAUGCAGUAAAUCAGAAAUAUACUUAUGCUGAUUAAGGAUCAUUCCACCAGGAACAACUGACAUUUCAAGACCUAAAAAAUAAAGCAAAGAUCCCAAGUCUUUGAUCUUAAACUGAUCAUCCAGAAACAGUUUCAGUGCAGUAAUUUCAUCAAUGUCAUCCCCAGUAAGGAUAAUAUCAUCCACAUAGACUGCCACCACCACAAGGGAGCCAGGUUUACCUCUGAUGAACAAAGAAUAAUCAUUCAAAGAAUGUUUGUAUCCUCUGGAAUAAAGAGCAGAAGACAACUUGGCAUACCAUUGUCUGGAUGCUUGUCUUAGCCCAUUAACAAGACCAUCAAACUCGUAUUUGAUUUUAUAGACCCACUUACAGCUAAUGGGUUUCUUACCAGGAGGAAGAUGAACAAUAUCCCAAGUAUGAUUAGCCUCCAAAGCAUCAAACUCCUGUCUCAUUGCACCCUGCCAUGCUGGGAUAGAUGCAACUUGAGAGUAAUACAUAGGUUCAGAUUCCAAAGUGGAGAAAGAGGAACCAGAAAAUGCAGACAGUUGACAGACAUAAUCCUUAAGGUAGGAAGGAGGAUUAUGCUGUCUAGUGGACUUUUUAGGUGUGGGAAGAGAAUGUGAAGGAGGUAACACAGGAGUAGAGAGAUCAGGAUUGAAAGAAGGGAGGGAAGAUGGACCAGCAUCAGGAAAAUCAGCUUCAGGAGAAUCAGAAGGAGAAGGAAGAACAGGAGAAUCAGGGGAAGUAAGUAUAGGAAAGUCUGAGGCAGUGAAAUCAUCAGCAGGAGGAAUAGAAGGAAAAUAUGAAGAAGAAGGGUGAGUAGAAGUAGGUUUAUUCUU
This 1174-nucleotide long non-coding RNA is filed under the name Nicotiana benthamiana. Its description in RNAcentral is "long non-coding RNA (NBEN_LNC017519)". Lineage: Eukaryota; Viridiplantae; Streptophyta; Magnoliopsida; Solanales; Solanaceae. The record is from RNAcentral.